Non-coding RNA from Podarcis lilfordi (Lilford's wall lizard), 5614 nucleotides. Lineage: Eukaryota; Metazoa; Chordata; Lepidosauria; Squamata; Lacertidae. The record is from the annotation of a GenBank genome assembly.
UACCACUGUAUAAUAAAUAGAAGUUCACCUGAGCACAUCUAGAGCUUCUUUUGCCCACAGCCAAAUGUGGGGUGAGGGGAGCACCCUGUUGCAACAGUUUAAUAAAGAUCAGGCUUACUAGCUGCUUUGCUUCUCAAUAUUCUCUGGCUGGCCUGUUAUUUUCUCCUACCGAUGGAUAACCUACAAAGUACUCUAUAAGGGCUCUUGUGUACUCCAUAAGGGAACAAGACAAGAUUUUGUUUACAACAUCUCUUUUGUUUCCUCUUCAUGAGGUGACUGUUGGUUUCUGCUUUCCUUCACUGUGCAGCGAAAGUGCUUGUCACGAGACAGGUGUUGACAUUCCACAGUCUGUACUGUUGGAGUUUCUCACGGGAAAGGGAGACUGGAUGUGACGUACACUGGUUUCCUGUUUUUCACUGUGUGAUUCUCUCCGAGCUGUCGAGGAGAGAGGAUGCAUUCUUCUGCUCCGGCAGAGGCAAGAUGUCUUUCUGUAAUAUACCAGCUUUGAACUGUAAAUAAAGCAAUAUAGAGUAUGCAGCACGUAUUCCUCAUCCUUUCGCUGGGCAACCAGACUCUGCUUAAAUCAACACGUGGUUAUGGGCUCCAGAAGUCGAAUCGGAGUGCCGGCAGAGGAUCGGAAUGCAGAGGGACAGAUCGGAACGGAAUCUGCUCUGCGCGUAGAAGUGAUUGAUGAGGUAUGUGCUACUGCUCCGGGCAGCCUGCCAGCUUCAAGUUAAUGGCUUUAUGGCUGGACUUUGAACUUUUAAAGCCGGUUUUGCCGGGAAUAGGCAAAAGGCUCCCAGGCACAAGUCACUAUGCUGGGGAAAUCGAAGUAACUUUUAAGUGUGCCUUUGUAAUGAGGCAGCUGCAGCAGUGACGCAGCAAGAUUUAAAGCAGCAUUUAUGACGCUGAAGGCUAAUGCCAGAGUCAUGAUGGCCCUUCAGGAUGCUUGUGGGAUUCCUAAGCUCAACAAGAAAAAUUACAGCGACUGGGUUCAGUAUGCAGAGGCAAUUCUGCGGAAAGAGGGUUUGUUUGAGGUGAUUACAGAAACCCCCCCAGUUCCAGUUACAGAUGCAUGGAAAGCUAAGGAUUCCAAAGCAAGGGGAACUCUUACAUUGAUAGUAUCCCCAGAAGAGCUCUGUCUAUUGCGUGAUAAGACCUCAGCCAGAGAAAUUUGGGACUUUGUUACUGCCGUGAUUUUAAAUGAAGCAGAUCGCCGGGGUGCUAGCUGCAUGGGCAAGGGGGAGUCUUCACAGACGUCAUCCCAUAGUGCAGUGGAACCACCAGAUGGCGCCAAAGCUUUGAAGGCAGUGAAAUGCUACUCGUGUGGACGUCUAGGCCAUAUGGAAGAGGGAAUGCAGACAUCCCAGGGCCAAGACAGAGCAGCGCAGCGAAAGCUCAUCGCGCGGAAAAGGCCGAGGCAAAGGCAAAGGUCCGGUGUCUAGGACAACGCAGCACAAGGCUAUGGUUUCACGCUUCACUCCAAAGGUUGCAGAGGUCCAGAAGACGUCUAGAUCUUUCUUCGUUGUUGAUUCAGCGGCCACCCACCACAUGUGCAACGAUAAGAAACUGUUUGUGUCUUUUACACCGCAGGAAGGUGCGAUUCACCAGGCGGAUGACCACACUAUUCCCAGUAAAGGCUACGGAACUGUUGUUCUUCACAGUUUGGACUUAUCGAUACAGAAUGUGCUUUACGUGCCAGACGCCAAACAUAAUCUGCUCAGCGUUGGACAGCUGAAUGAGCGGAACAUUGACGUUUCCUUCAAGAACAAGAAGUGCAUCAUCACAAAGAAAAAUGAUUAUGUAUUGCAUGCAGAAUAUGUUGAUCAUUUGUUUGUUUUAUAUUAUGAUGAUGUGGUGCAGGAUGACACUUGUUGCAUUGCAGGUUCUAACAAAAGUUUGCAUGCAGAAUGUAUUCACGAUUUUCAUCGAAAAUUUGGUCAUUUGCAUUUCGAGGCAGUAUCUAAAAUGCCUGCCUUGGUUGAAGGUAUGACUAUUAAACCCUGCAGGUACCACAUGAAGUGCAAAGCAUGCGCAGCAAACAAGGUGAAAAUGGCUGCGAAAGGUAAGGUGUCUAGUAGGAAAGCUACAGAACCAUACCAGGUUGUUCAUGCUGAUUUGGUUGGACCACUAGCGCCCUCUUUGGGUGGAAAUAGAUACUUCAUGGUUCUCAUUGAUGCAUUUUCUAGAUAUAUUUUUGUGUACAAUCUCAAGCAGAAAUCAGAGGCUUUUCCUAGGUUCAAGGAAUUCUGUGCUUGGUUAGAAAAUGUGCAUAGUAAGAAGAUAAAGACUCUUUUCAGUGAUCGCGGGGGGGAAUUCACUUCUCAGCAGUUUGAAGCUUUUCUGACUGAGAAAGGAAUUCAACACGAUUUGUCUAGUCCUCGCUCGCCAUGGCAGAAUGGACUCGCGGAACGGGCAAAUCAGACAUUGCUUCAAGGGUUAAAAACCUUACUUCAUGAUGCCAAUCUUCCAGAGAGUUAUUGGGCCGAAUCUCUCUCGUGUUUUGUUUACAGUUACAAUCGCAGGUUAUCUUCAGCGAUUGGUUGUACCUCUAUGAGAAGAUGUUUGGCAAGAAGCCAUACAUCAAACACAUGAAGAUUUUGGUUCUGACAUGUGGGUUCGCUCACCACAAAACUCCAAGUUAGACAAGCGUGGAUUGCAUGGUAUCUUUCUAGGUUAUCAGAAAGGGUCUUACAGAAUAAUGAUGACUGACUCUAAGACAAUUAAGCUCACGAGAAGUGUCGAGUACAAUGCAAAGUGGGGGAGAAUGUGGGAAUUUUCCAAUGUUAUCCUGAUGACGGUGAUGAGACUGAGGAUAGUCAAGCAACCACAACAGCCCACACCCACUGAUGAAGGUUCUGAGUCUGAAUCUGAAACUGAAUCGGGUGAUUCAGAGGAUUUCAAGAGUGCGAAAGCCUCUAUGCGACCCUCUGAAAGCUCUGAUCAAGAAUUGGAGGAACCAUUGUUCACAAUAGGUCGUUUUUCUCCUAAGAAGGAAGAGGAGAGUGUUGAAGACUUAAGGCUAAUUCGUAGGUCACAGAGAGCCACAAAAGGCAAACCUCCAAAGAGAUUUGCUGAUGAGUUUGCUACGAUAGCAGUAACAGCUGUUAAAAGCUCCAAGAAGGUAUUUGAACCUUCAAGUUUCCAAAAAAUCCAGGGUUUGGAUUCAAAGGAAGCUGAGCCAUGGUUAAAUGCCAUGAAGGCUGAGCUUGAUUCCUUAGAAAGGAACAAAACAUGGGAGCUAGUUCCAGUAGUUCCAGGAAUGAAACUGCUUGGAAGCAAAUGGGUCUUCAAAGCGAAGACAGAUCAAAAUGGCAAGAUAGUCAGACACAAAGCCAGAUUGGUAGCCAGAGGUUUUGCACAGGUACCAGGUGAAGACUAUCACGAGACCUAUUCACCCACAGUGAGAUAUGAAAGCAUUAGGCUUAUGCUUAAGCUAGCUGCAGAGGAAAAUCUACACAUUAGUCACCAUGAUAUUAAUACAGCUUUUCUGUACGGAUCUCUAGAUGAAUCACUUUAUAUGCUUCCACCUGAUGGCGUACAGGUAAAACAGGGAUUUGUUUGUGCUCUGAAGAAAUCCCUUUAUGGUCUCAAACAAAGUGCACGGUGUUGGCACACAAACUCACUGAAGUAUUGUUUUCUCUAGGUUUUCAGCAAGGGAAAGCUGAUCCAUGUGUAUUUGUCAAAGAGGAGGGGCAAAAGAAACUGUACUGUUUGUUUUAUGUUGAUGAUUUAUUAUUCUUUUGGAAAGAUGUUGCAAUGUACAAUAGCGCCCUAGCUCAACUGAAAGAGCACUUUGACAUGAAAGAUCUUGGUGAGGUAAACAACUACCUAUCUCUGGAAAUAGAGAAAGAUCAAGAUGGUAACAUUCUAGUACACCAGUCACGGAAAAUUGCUGAUGUGUUAAGCAAACUAAAUCUGAUGGAUGCUAACCCUGUAGACACACCGAUGACAACAGGUUAUCAGGUAGAUGACACUGAAGAAGCAUUUUCUGACACUACACUGUACAGGAGUGUGCUAGGCAAGCUAAACUUCAUUGCCAGAUGUUCAAGACCAGACAUUGCUGUUAGCUGUAAUUUGCUAAGCAGACAAGUCAACAAUCCUAGUGUCAAGGAUUGGAAAGCUCUGAAACGCAUAGCGCGGUAUUUGAAAGGCACUAUGCAUUACAGACUGAGAUUUAACAAUCAGAAGUCUGGUGGUCUUGAGAUAUUUGCAGAUGCAAGUUUUGGAAGUGACACUACAGACAGGAAAAGUAACGUCUGGAGUUUGCUACAUGUACAAUCAGAGUCUAUUUGAUUGGUCAUGCAAGAAGCAAACAACAGUUAGCUUAAGUACUUGUGAAGCCGAACUGAAUGCACUGUCUUAUUCACUUAAGGAUUGUGAAUGGUUAGUACAAUUGUGCAAAGAUAUGAAAAUUCCUGUCAAAUGUCCAAUCCAGGUUUACCAGGACAACAAAGCAUGUUUGGCUUUGCUGAAGUCUGAAGGUUGUGAGCAAAGCACAAAGCACUUGCAAUUAAAGUUGCAGCAUGCUAGGGAAUGUAUUCAGAAGGGACUCGUAACGGUGUCCUAUAUGCCAGGUAAUGAAAUUCCUGCUGAUGUAUUGUCCAAGAUUGUAUCGAGGGAUCAACACUGUACCUAUGUGCAGAAGUUGGGUUUGUACUGAUAUUGUACGAACACGCUGCCCAGUGAUGUUCACAGAAAGGGGGAGGAUGUUGGUUUCUGCUUUCCUUCACUGUGCAGCGAAAGUGCUUGUCACGAGACAGGUGUUGACAUUCCACAGUCUGUACUGUUGGAGUUUCUCACGGGAAAGGGAGACUGGAUGUGACGUACACUGGUUUCCUGUUUUUCACUGUGUGAUUCUCUCCGAGCUGUCGAGGAGAGAGGAUGCAUUCUUCUGCUCCGGCAGAGGCAAGAUGUCUUUCUGUAAUAUACCAGCUUUGAACUGUAAAUAAAGCAAUAUAGAGUAUGCAGCACGUAUUCCUCAUCCUUUCGCUGGGCAACCAGACUCUGCUUAAAUCAACAGUGACUGCUUCACCCUACCUUAUGGGUGGGCUGGCUCUGGGGAGUGGGGAGCAUGUAUAGAGAUGAUAGAAUGGAUUGCAUGCCUGUAAUAGUAAUAGUAGUAGUAGUAGUAGUAGUAGUAGCAGUAGUAAUGUAUUAUUUCUACCCCGCCCAUCUGGCUGGGUUUCCCCAGACGCUCUGGGAGGCUUUCUAAAGAACAUUAAAAACAGAAUAAAACUUUAAACAUUAAAAACUUCCCCUAAACAGGGGAAGUUUGUGUUUGCCUGUGUGUUUGUGGAGGAGGAGAGGGAAGGAAGGAAGGAAGGAAGGAAGGAAGGAAGGAAGGAACAGGCUGUUGGGAUAAAGACAGAAAAGGAAAGGAGAAGGAAAGUGGAAGUCUGAUCUGUUUUGGUUCAGUAGUUUAUGGAUUUGGCAAGUGACUCAUGAAAUGCACCACAAUGAAUCACAAAAAUGGGAUUUAUCAGAACCAAGUAUUUUUUUAAAAAAAAUAAAAAUAUACCAUUUUUUAAAUUAAAGCUGUGCAGUGUUACUGAUCUUGCUUUUAGUUUCUUUCUUUUUUUUAAAUGAUAUUUAUUAGAAUUUCAAAGGAUAC